UACGUAGGGGCGAGCGUUGUCCGGAAUUAUUGGGCGUAAAGGGUUCGUAGGCGGUUAUUUAAGUCAGAUGUGAAAGGCAUAGGCUCAACCUGUGUAAGCAUUUGAAACUGAGUAACUUGAGUUAAGGAGAGGAAAGUGGAAUUCCUAGUGUAGCGGUGAAAUGCGUAGAUAUUAGGAGGAAUACCAGUGGCGAAGGCGACUUUCUGGACUUAUACUGACGCUGAGGAACGAAAGCGUGGGGAGCAAACAGGAUUAGAUACCCUGGUAGUCCCUGAGCGGG
RNAcentral lists this ribosomal RNA (280 nucleotides) under uncultured prokaryote. RNAcentral's name for it is "partial 16S ribosomal RNA". It matches the Rfam family "Bacterial small subunit ribosomal RNA", at positions 524 to 803 of the family's 1533-position model. The record is from RNAcentral.